ACGCGGCAGCGGGCGGGGCCACCGCGUUGGCAAGAUCUGCUCAUCUCUCUCUUUUCCUGGGUUUUGCUCCCCACCCCACCCUCCUUCCCCCCGCACAAGUCGUAGCCGCUUGCCACGAUGUUCUUCGAUGUGUUGGAUAUGACGACGGCGUACAUGCAGUACAUCACGCUGCUGCUGCAUCUGUCGCCGGAGUCGCUCCUGUCCUUCUACAUUGCGCCUUUGGAGGCAAUUCAGUUUAUGAUGCUGCGCGCGUACGAUAAAAUGGAGGAGGUGCAGCGGUACGAAAACCCACUCCGCGUGGAUCUGCCUGGCUGGCUCCCGCUGGACAUUCGAGUGCAGUGCGUUUGCGUCGUUGUCAUCGGCCCGCUGGCGCUGUCAACCCUCGGCCUGCUGUUCGUAUACUGCAAGCCCGCCUACGCUUGGUUCGUGUGCCUCCUCUCCUCCCUCUUUAUGUUUCUCUUCGGCUUCAUUUUAUUGCCGAGCAUGGCCGCCUUCACCUUUCCUGGCCCGUCGCUGCCGUCCAAGUCGAUGCUCGGCAUCCUCGGCGACGUGGGACUGCCGCUCUUUGCGGUGCUGCUGGCUGUCGGUCUUGUUGGCAUGGGUCUCGCGCGUCUGCGGCAGCUGCGCAGGGACGCGGUGGAGCUGGAGCGGUUUAUCGACGAGGAGCGGGAGCGAUGCGGAAGCCAACGCAUCACACAGCAGGUGGUGGACCGCCAGGGGAUCGACCUUGUCACCGUGGCAGCGGAGCGGGUGCACUCCGCGCGCCGCGAGUACUGCAUUGCCCACCUCGACGUCGGAGAUGUGAUGUGGCAGGGCGCGUGCGUGUUGAUGCUGCUGAUCGGCAGUUUUGUGCUGCUUGGGGCGGUGCCGACUCCACCGAUUUACCCGAUGCAGCAGAGCAUCGUGUUCAAGGCGGUCGGGAGCCUAACGUUUGUUUUCUUUGCCGUCUCCGUGCUGUGGUGGAUCACGAGCAUGUUAAAGAAAGGGCGCCGGUAUCUGUGCACGUGCAGUGCCGCGUUCGACCUCCACGCGCUCAGCCUCAUCAUGGUGGUCGCUUCCCUUCUGUACAUUAACGUCGUCGCCAACUUUACUUCGAUCGUCCACUGCGUGCCGCUGACCUGCGAGGCCGAGUCACGAAUGCAGCACCCCGCAUCCCUCUUUCCGCCGCUGUCCUCUCUGAUGGAACAAAGUCGCAUCUCCGACUCGCCGGUCAGGUGUCUGCCGUGCGACUUCCACAACUACACGCAGAAGUGUGCCACCUCCUUCCAGCAGAGCCUGUGCGCCACGGCCCAAAAGCGGUCUUGACUUGUCUAUGGCGCCCGUGUGCCAUGUGGGAGCAUGGAUGGAUUUUACAAGGCGAUCGGCGUCUUGAUAUUUGUCUUCUACAUCCUGCUCCUGCUCUACCUGCAGCUCUACGUCGCGCAGUACGGUGCUCGGAUGCUGCAUGACGUGUACCCACUCGAGCAGCGCUAUCACGACGUCUUCACCGCCGAGGAGCUGUACUUGCAGAAGGUGCUCUUCUCGGACAACAGCGCCGCCUUUGCCUAUCGCGCGUAAACGAUGCAGUUCCGCUUCUACCGGCUCUCCUUCCUGUUGCAGAAAAUCGUCCUCGGCUUCGGCACCUGCUUCAUGCAGCGCGGACAGCAUCGCCGUCUUGCCUGGGUCGGCAUACUGUUCUUCCUGGUAGUCUCGCUCAUUGCGCUGUGCUGCGCCGUGUACUUGCGGCCAUUGUCGCGGCUCACCGAGUUCAUCUACUUCCCGCCGCUGCAAGCGGUGGUUCACAUGUGCAGUUUAGUAUUCCUCGUCGCCUGGAAUUUCGGCAGCGCAGCCGUCCCUCUCGUUGUAUGGGUGAUCCUUCCCAUUGCGCUCAUGGGUGUGCCGGCGAUAGCGCUGGUGGUCGUAACAGUGCUGUCGCGGCAUGAGGAACGCCGCCGGGACGAUCUCCUGCAGAGGCGGCUCGUGCUGGGGGUGACGGCGGCCUACGUCAUGUCAGGGGCGUGGGAGCAGCAAGCGCAGAGCAGCAGCCCAACGCAGCUGCAACCGGGCGACAGCGAGGCCAGGGUCGGCCGCCAGCGACAGAGAGCAGCAGCCGUCUCGGCAGACGGGAAACCCGAGGAUGCCGAAGGAGGACAGCGAUGGCGAAGCAACGCGGCCAUGCGGCUCCGAGAGCACUCCACGGGACCGAGUCUCCUUCAACGCCAGUCCCCUGGCGUCGGCAGCUGCAGCGGGCAUCUCGACUGUCACAGGUGCAAGGGUGGCGGCACUCCCGCAACGCGACAGCCUCAAUAUCGACUCCCUCGGCCGCACACCCGCGGUCAUGGCAUUGAGCCCUGCCGCCCCGUCGGUUCACCACCCGAAGCCGGCAGCAGAAAGGCUCCUAUCGCCGUCGUCGCUAACCCCCGACGCCACCGUGCACUUGUACUGGCCUUCGACGAAUUGCGCCUGCAGCGCCACGAGUAGUCGGAGGCGAGCGCCGAGUCCUGACCAGACCACGGCGGCGUCCAUCCACCCCACCACUAUCACUACCACGGCUUCUGCCCAUGCCUCCGUGGCAACGGUGCACAGCGCCAACGCCGAUCAGGCGCUGCCGGCGCUCCUCCUGAAACGCAAGUGGUGGGACUUCACCAGGGCUCUCGGCGCGAUGGCUAUCGAGAGACAGUGGUGGCACCCUUCCUGCUCUUCCGCGACCGCAAGCCGUGGGCUUGCGGAGGGACGGCAGGAGGUACGACGACACGGUAGGCAUUGGCGGUCAUGAUUGUGACGCACCCACGGCUGCAGCAGUGGAACCCCGCGCCGACCUUUAACAGCAGCAGCAGCGGCGUCGCUCGAUGGUUUCCGUGGCCGCCUCCUCCUUCACGAAGAGCCCGCCACCGCUCUUCCAGCGCACUGGGCCGACCUCAGCGGCGAGUUCUGCUGCGGUAAACGCUUGUGAUCAUGGCAGCGGUGCUUCCGCGGCCCAGCCAGCACGUCGCGCUUCAGAAGAGGAACCACCGCAGCGUCGGAAGGCCUCGUCCAAGACACAUCAGCAGAGAGAAAAGCGCGGCACCAAAGCAGCGCGAGAGAACGCGAACAGAGGCGCUGCAGGUGCGCCCAGCGUCAGACCCCCUGCACUGUCCCUCCCAGCUUCCGCCAGCGCGGCGUCGACGUCGAUGUCGCUGCAUCGGCACCGAUCUUCGGCUUCGAACAGCGUGUGCAGCAGCAACCAGGCGCGCGCAUCCUCAGCGAGCGGGCCGCAGCGUCAGCGGGGUAGCCCAUCCGCUUCAGUCUCUCCUUUCGGCACUGGGGCUGCUUUGGCUGUCGCAUGCGCAGCCGCUGCAAGCCGAGGACAGUCGGUUCGGCGCACCGCCGCCGGCGCUGGCACUGGCGAGCCGUGGAAUCUCCACUCCUAGCCGGCGUCUCUCCCAUUUCUCCUACGUGUGCGUGCCGGCAGUGCUGGAGCUCUCCGAUCAGCGGCGGGCUAUCUUCAUUGCAGCAUCAUCGGCGUCAGCGGUCCGUGACGUCACAGGGGAGCGACCGACUUCAGGGACGCAGUUUCGGCAUGGCAGCGCCGAUCGACGUCGCCGCUGGUGGCUCAGCGGCCGAACACCACCACCCACAGGCGCUCUCUGCGGUCGCAGACAGCCGGGUGUUCGCCCCCAACGCCACCUCCGCAAUAGUCCCUCCCUGCAUUCACAAGUGCACUCCGUGGCACCGGCAGACCCGCUCGGUCAACAGUUCCGCUGCCUCUGCCCGCUGCGAGAGCGGCUGAAGGAGUUGCACUGGGAGCACUGCGAGCAGCUCACGGCUGUGCAACACUACAUCGACUGCGAGAUCAACGAGACGGUGUGGCGCGACGGGUACGACAACGCCAUCACGGACGAGUAUGCCGUGCGUGAGCUCUGCGGGAUGGGGUUCAAGAACAACUGCACGGUGGUUGUGGGCCAGGGGACGGUCCGGCUGGAGGGAUGCGACGCCGCCGCCGUCUCGGAGGAUGCGAUGCAGCGCUGGUGAAGAAGCAGCCUCCUCGCCGUGAAGAAGAGAGGGAGGAAAAGGUUUAUGUCUUAUACGCACAUGACGUAAGCGGUGCAGGAUCGAGCUGCCCGUGUUCGCGUGUGUCUGUCAUGUGCAGCCAUGUGUGAGAGGACGGUGACAACGUCCAACAAGCCGGUGC
This 4150-nucleotide unclassified non-coding RNA is filed under the name Leishmania donovani. RNAcentral's name for it is "gene:LdHU3.10.1340(CDS-product:hypothetical_prote in)". The record is from RNAcentral. Lineage: Eukaryota; Euglenozoa; Kinetoplastea; Trypanosomatida; Trypanosomatidae.